AACCUGACGCAGCGACGCCGCGUGAGCGAUGAAGGCCUUCGGGUUGUAAAGCUCUGUUUUAAGGGACGAAUGUUACGGGGAGUAAUAUGCCCUGUAAAUGACGGUACCUUAAGAGGAAGCCCCGGCUAACUCCGUGCCAGCAGCCGCGAUAAUA
RNAcentral lists this ribosomal RNA (154 nucleotides) under uncultured bacterium. RNAcentral's name for it is "partial 16S ribosomal RNA". It matches the Rfam family "Bacterial small subunit ribosomal RNA", at positions 380 to 525 of the family's 1533-position model. The record is from RNAcentral.